The sequence is a ribosomal RNA, 737 nucleotides long. The stretch from base 274 to 429 matches the Rfam family "5.8S ribosomal RNA".
GCUGCCCGCGACAUUGCGAGAAGUCCACUGAACCUUAUCAUUUAGAGGAAGGAGAAGUCGUAACAAGGUUUCCGUAGGUGAACCUGCGGAAGGAUCAUUGUCGAAACCUGCACAAGCAGAACGACCCGCGAACCCGUUAUUACACAACGCCGCGAACGUUUGGUUCCAAACGGUCCGGUUACUAAACAAAAACUUUGGGCGCGGUAUGGCCAAGGAAUAUCGAAACGAACAUUACCGUUCACUCGUGGACGCGUGCGUUCUAUAUGUCAUAACGACUCUCGGCAACGGAUAUCUCGGCUCUCGCAUCGAUGAAGAACGUAGCGAAAUGCGAUACGUGGUGUGAAUUGCAGAAUUCCGUGAACCAUCGAGUUUUUGAACGCAAGUUGCGCCCGAAGCCAUUCGGCCGAGGGCACGUCUGCCUGGGUGUCACGCACCGUUGCCCCCUACUCAAAACUCGUUUCUCCUCUCACGAGGGGGACUUGUUUGACGGUGGGCGGAUAUUGGCUUCCCGUUGGCGAUGUCUCGCGGUUGGCCUAAAAUCAAUUCCUUAGCCGCGAUCGCCGUGGCAUUUGGUGGUUUUCGAUAAACUCGUUGCCCAGCCACGUGCGACCGUUCGGAAAAUGAAUUACGAAACCCCAACGCGUCUGCGUACUACGGAGACGCUUCCAACGCGACCCCRGGUCAGGCGGGGUUACCCGCUGAAUUUAAGCAUAUCAAUAAGCGGAGAAAARAAACUU